GAUGAACGCUAGCGGGAGGCCUAACACAUGCAAGCCGAGCGGUAGAGUCUCUUCGGAGACUUGAGAGCGGCGCACGGGUGCGGAACACGUGUGCAACCUGCCUUUAUCUGGUGGAUAGCCUUUCGAAAGGAAGAUUAAUACCCCAUAAUAUACUGGAUGGCAUCAUCUGGUAUUGAAAACUCCGGUGGAUAGAGAUGGGCACGCGCAAGAUUAGAUAGUUGGUGAGGUAACGGCUCACCAAGUCAGCGAUCUUUAGGGGGCCUGAGAGGGUGAUCCCCCACACUGGUACUGAGACACGGACCAGACUCCUACGGGAGGCAGCAGUGAGGAAUAUUGGACAAUGGGUGAGAGCCUGAUCCAGCCAUCCCGCGUGAAGGACGACGGCCCUAUGGGUUGUAAACUUCUUUUGUAUAGGGAUAAACCUAGAUACGUGUAUCUAGCUGAAGGUACUAUACGAAUAAGCACCGGCUAACUCCGUG
This 479-nucleotide ribosomal RNA is filed under the name uncultured bacterium. RNAcentral describes it as "partial 16S ribosomal RNA". It matches the Rfam family "Bacterial small subunit ribosomal RNA", at positions 28 to 507 of the family's 1533-position model. The record is from RNAcentral.